RNAcentral lists this ribosomal RNA (500 nucleotides) under uncultured bacterium. Its description in RNAcentral is "bacterial SSU rRNA". It matches the Rfam family "Bacterial small subunit ribosomal RNA", at positions 25 to 518 of the family's 1533-position model. The record is from RNAcentral.
CAGGAUGAACGCUAGCGGCAGGCUAACACAUGCAAGUCGAGGGGCAUCGGGAGUAGCAAUACUUGCCGGCGACCGGCGCAAGGGUGCGUAACGCGUGAGCAACAUGCCCGUAUCAGGGGGGAUAAUCCAUGGAAACGUGGUCUAAUACCCCAUAGUAAUUAUGUAAGGCAUCUUAUAUAAUUUAAAGCUUUGGUGGAUACGGAUUGGCUCGCGUGACAUUAGCUAGAUGGUAAGGUAACGGCUUACCAUGGCUACGAUGUCUAGGGGUUCUGAGAGGAAGGUCCCCCCACACUGGAACUGAGACACGGUCCAGACUCCUACGGGAGGCAGCAGUGAGGAAUAUUGGACAAUGGAUGGAAAUCUGAUCCAGCCAUGCCGCGUGCAAGGAAGACGGCCCUAUGGGUUGUAAACUGCUUUUGUAUGGGAGCAAUAAGGGCUACGCGUAGUCCGAUGAGAGUACCAUACGAAUAAGCACCGGCUAACUCCGUGCCAGCCGCCGC